GACGAACGCUGGCGGCGUGCUUAACACAUGCAAGUCGAACGGAAAGGCCCUGCUUUUGUGGGGUGCUCGAGUGGCGAACGGGUGAGUAACACGUGAGUAACCUGCCCUUGUCUUUGGGAUAACUUCAGGAAACUGGGGAUCAUACCGGAUAGGAGCUCCUGCUGCAUGGUGGGGGUUGGAAAGUUUCGGCGGUUGGGGAUGGACUCGCGGCUUAUCAGCUUGUUGGUGGGGUAGUGGCUUACCAAGGUUUUGACGGGUAGCCGGCCUGAGAGGGUGACCGGCGACAUUGGGACUGAGAUACGGCCCAGACUGCUACGGGAGGCAGCAGUGGGGAAUAUUGCACAAUGGGCGGAAGCCUGAUGCAGCGACGCCGCGUGCGGGAUGACGGCCUUCGGGUUGUAAACCGCUUUCGCCGGUGACGAAGCGUGAGUGACGGUAAUGGGUAAAGAAGCACCGGCUAACUACGUG
RNAcentral lists this ribosomal RNA (468 nucleotides) under uncultured bacterium. Its description in RNAcentral is "partial 16S ribosomal RNA". It matches the Rfam family "Bacterial small subunit ribosomal RNA", at positions 28 to 507 of the family's 1533-position model. The record is from RNAcentral.